Molecule: long non-coding RNA, 335 nt
Filed under: Phasianus colchicus (ring-necked pheasant)
Lineage: Eukaryota; Metazoa; Chordata; Aves; Galliformes; Phasianidae
Description: lncRNA (ENSPCLG00000007689.1)
Source: RNAcentral
UAGACGCAAUGCUCUCUCUGGUUCCACUUCCUGCGGGUCCCACAAGCGGACUGAGCCACCGCUCCCACUGCUGCCACAAGGGACAGCCACUGUGACAUCUCACCAGGGAGUGUCACCUCAUAGAGAAUGACGUGCCCUGGGGACCAGACAGCAUGCAGGGCAGCCUUGCAGGCCCCAAAACACAGCGUGCUUUUGUGAUGCACUCGGCUCCAGAGUGGACACGUUCCGCACUGAAGCAGGGAAUCACCUCAGUGGGCCAGGACCUCACAGAUCCUGAGACUGCCGCCAUCAGCUUUAGAAGCAGUCAUGCAGAAGGCAGGGGUUUGUCUGCAUAA